This is an RNA transcript of Jatropha curcas, 1744 nucleotides long. It is a transcript of the gene named Metallo-hydrolase/oxidoreductase superfamily protein, with no coding region annotated. Lineage: Eukaryota; Viridiplantae; Streptophyta; Magnoliopsida; Malpighiales; Euphorbiaceae. The record is from RefSeq and is a predicted model, not a curated record.
GAAAAGAACUUACAGACGGACGGUCAACGUGUUUGUACUUAACAGUGAAUAGUUUCCUAACCUUUCGCAUCUGAAAAGCAUAUUUCCUUUUUCUUCUCAAAAUUUUUUAUUUUCUUUCAAAGACACAGAAACCAAAAAUUUUGUAGCUUGCUCAAACAAUGGUUCAGUUUCUUGGCGCAAUUCGUGUAUCUCCUUCUCUUGCUCUAGCCAGUUUUGUACCUCACAGGCGUCAAUUCUCUUUCCAGAGUUCUUCACUUGCGCUUUCGAGAAAUGGGCUCUCUUCAUUUUCGCUUUCCAGAAAUGGGUUCUCUCCGUUCAAGAAGAUUAUGCGAGCUUGCUUUAUUUCAAAUGCAAGUGGAAAUGCUGAUGCACAGUCGCCCAAAGACCAAUCUGAAAUCAUAUUCAUGGGGACAGGAACUAGUGAAGGGGUUCCCCGUGUCAGCUGUCUUACUAAUCCUUUAAAGAAAUGUCCGGUGUGCUCAAAAGCUGUGGAACCUGGUAACAAAAACAGGAGACUGAACACAAGCCUUCUUAUUCGUUAUUCUGGUCCUGGUGGAAUAUGCAACAUUCUAAUAGAUGCUGGCAAGUUUUUCUACCAUAGUGCUCUUCGAUGGUUUCCCGAUUUCGGGCUAAGAACAAUUGAUGCGGUUAUUAUUACUCAUUCUCAUGCUGAUGCAAUUGGAGGUCUGGAUGAUCUUCGGGAUUGGACAAACAAUGUCCAGCCUCACAUUCCGAUAUAUGUGGCACGGCGUGAUUUUGAGGUGAUGAAGAAGACUCAUUAUUAUUUGGUGGAUACAAGUGUGAUUAUACCUGGAGCUGCUGUCUCAGAGUUACAAUUUAACAUCAUACAUGAGGAGCCAUUUGAUGCGUGUGAUUUGAAGUUUACUCCAUUACCAGUGUGGCAUGGCAGUGGUUAUCGUUCCCUUGGUUUUCGCUUUGGUAACAUAUGUUACAUCAGUGAUGUUAGCGAGAUACCUGAAGAAACUUAUCCACUACUCAAGGACUGUGAAAUUCUGAUUUUGCUUAUAUGUCAGUUAAUUCAUUCAGGAUGCUCUGAGGCCUGACCGAUCUUCUUCAACACAUUUCGGGCUUCCAAGGGCCUUAGAUGAAGUGCGAAAAAUUAAACCAAAGAGAACACUUUUCACUGGCAUGAUGCACUUGAUGGAUCAUGAGAAAGUAAAUGAAUAUCUUUUGAAAUUAAAGGAGACAGAAGGGCUUGAUGUACAACUAAGCUAUGAUGGGUUGAGGAUACCAGCAACACUUUAACUUCUACCUUAUUUCUACUUCCGUAUUCUUUUUCUCAAUAAAUACACUGCUUGAAAUGUCAAUCAGUUCCUCAUGAACUUGUAUGAUAUCAAUUUCAUAUCUUUUUUGAGUAAAGCACAAUGUGAUUUUCGUCCGUCCGGCAUCGAUGCUUGCCUGGUCUUCAUGUGUCAAGCUAGAAUCCCAGGUAAUUUUUUUGGAACUGAUUAUUUAUUAGAAAUUCUAAUGGCAACUAAAAUGAAUUAUUACUUAUAAAUGUAGAAAUAAUUGGCUUGUUGCUUGUGGCUCUUCAGGAGUUGCUCAGAACUUUUAGAAAUGCUUGGAUAGUACUUACUCAAUAGUCUCUGUGUCCUUUUAUCAGUGCACUAAUGAAAAGGCAUUGACUCCUCAAUUAUUUUGCUCUCUAUCCCUGAAAACUUCCAUAUGUGGUUUUGUAAUGAUAUACUUGUCGGUUGCAAUAAAUACUUUUUUUUGUUUUGAA